CCCUUAGAUGUUCUGGGCCGCACGCGCGCUACACUGAUCAGUGCAACAAGCAUCCGUCCUUGGCCGACAGGCCCGGGCAAUCUUUGAACGCUGAUCGUGAUUGGGAUAGACCUUUGCAAUUAUGGGUCUUCAACGAGGAAUUCCUAGUAAACGCAAGUCAUCAGCUUGCAUUGAUUACGUCCCUGCCCUUUGUACACACCGCCCGUCGCACCUACCGAUUGAAUGGUCCGGUGAAAUCUCGGGACGGCGGCUUGGUCGCUUGCGUCCGACUGCUGAAACUUGAUUAAACCAUAUCAUUUAGAGGAAGGUGAAGUCGUAACA
RNAcentral lists this ribosomal RNA (321 nucleotides) under uncultured eukaryote. RNAcentral describes it as "partial 18S ribosomal RNA". It matches the Rfam family "Eukaryotic small subunit ribosomal RNA", at positions 1470 to 1796 of the family's 1831-position model. The record is from RNAcentral.